AAAAAAACGAAAAUACAAAAAACGAAAUAACCUUCAUCUCUUCCAGCCUUUGAUGAAUUUUUAGACACUCUCGCUGAUUAUAUGAGCGCAAAACCUCUACUUUCUCUCUCUAGAUUUACAUAAUAUAAUACGCGCACUUUCUCUCUCUUGAUCCAACCAUCAGAUUGCGUGUUUCUUCACUCAAUUCCAUCUUCGUAGAUCCUGCACUCGGUAUCUCUGCUGCAAACACCGAAUCUGUUAAAAUGCCGCUUAGACUGGAAAUUAAGAGAAAACUUGCACAACGCUCGGAAAGAGUAAAAUCGGUGGAUCUACAUCCGACAGAGCCAUGGAUAUUGGCAAGUUUGUACUCAGGGACUGUUUGUAUUUGGAACUACCAAACUCAGACAAUGGUUAAAUCUUUUGAGGUUACAGAACUACCAGUUAGAUCUGCAAAGUUCAUUGCACGAAAGCAGUGGGUUGUGGCUGGUGCUGAUGACAUGUUCAUUCGUGUAUACAAUUACAACACAAUGGAUAAGGUCAAAGUGUUUGAGGCUCAUACAGAUUAUAUUAGGUGCGUGGCUGUUCAUCCCACUCUUCCAUACGUGCUGUCAUCCUCCGACGACAUGCUAAUCAAGCUCUGGGACUGGGAAAAAGGGUGGUUAUGCACUCAAAUAUUUGAGGGUCAUUCUCAUUAUGUGAUGCAAGUGACUUUCAAUCCAAAAGACACCAAUACUUUUGCCAGUGCAUCUCUCGAUCGCACUAUUAAGAUCUGGAAUCUGGGCUCCCCAGACCCAAACUUUACACUGGAUGCCCAUUUAAAAGGAGUCAAUUGUGUAGAUUAUUUCACGGGUGGUGAUAAACCGUACUUAAUCACUGGUUCUGAUGAUCACACUGCUAAGGUGUGGGAUUACCAGACAAAGAGCUGUGUCCAGACAUUAGAAGGCCAUACACACAAUGUUUCUGCAGUCUGCUUCCAUCCUGAACUUCCCAUCAUAAUAACAGGUUCUGAGGAUGGCACAGUCCGCAUUUGGCAUUCCACCACUUAUAGACUUGAAAACACAUUGAAUUAUGGUCUUGAAAGAGUUUGGGCAGUUGGCUACAUAAAAGGUUCUAGACGGGUUGUAAUCGGUUAUGAUGAAGGAACCAUCAUGGUAAAGCUUGGUCGGGAGGUACCUGUUGCUAGUAUGGAUAACAGUGGGAAAAUCAUUUGGGCCAAGCAUAAUGAAAUUCAGACUGUCAACAUCAAGAGCGUAGGAGCAGAUUAUGAGGUUGCUGAUGGAGAGCGAUUGCCUUUGGCAGUAAAGGAGUUGGGAACUUGUGACCUUUACCCACAGAGCUUAAAGCAUAACCCUAAUGGUAGGUUUAUUGUUGUAUGCGGAGAUGGUGAGUACAUCACAUACACAGCCUUGGCAUGGAGAAACAGAUCAUUUGGCUCAGCUUUGGAAUUUGUUUGGUCAACGGAAGGAGAAUAUGCUGUUAGAGAAAGUACAUCAAAAAUUAAAAUCUUUAGUAAAAAUUUUCUGGAGAAGAAAAGCAUUCGACCUACAUUUUCUGCUGAACAUAUUUAUGGGGGAACUUUAUUGGCCAUGUGCUCAAAUGAUUUCAUUUGCUUCUAUGAUUGGGCUGAAUGCAGGUUGAUACGGCGCAUCGAUGUCAAUGUUAAAAAUCUUUACUGGGCUGACGGUGGUGAUUUGGUGGCCGUUACCAGUGAUACAUCAUUCUACAUACUUAAGUAUAAUCGUGAUGUAGUUUCAGCUCAUCUAGACAGUGGUAAAUCAGUAGAUGAACAAGGCGUGGAAGAUGCGUUUGAGCUUCUUUAUGAAAUUAAUGAACGAGUAAGAACUGGGCUUUGGGUUGGGGAUUGUUUCAUUUACAAUAACUCUUCCUGGAGGCUCAAUUACUGCGUCGGUGGUGAGGUGACAACAAUGUUUCAUUUAGACCGACCCAUGUACUUGCUUGGAUAUCUUGCUGGUCAAAGUCGCGUUUAUCUCAUCGACAAAGAAUUUAAUGUCAUAGGGUAUACUUUGCUACUCAGCUUGAUUGAGUACAAGACUCUUGUAAUGCGUGGUGAUCUGGAAAGGGCAAAUGAGGUUUUACCAUCGAUUCCAAAGGAACAUCUUAACAGUGUGGCUCAUUUCUUGGAGUCACGAGGUAUGAUAGAAGAUGCACUGGAAGUUGCUACAGACCCUGACUACAGAUUUGAGUUAGCCAUACAGCUAGGCAAACUAGACAUCGCAAAGGAAAUUGCCACAGUAGCACAGAGUGAGUCUAAGUGGAAGCAAUUGGGGGAGUUAGCUAUGUCUACUGGAAAGUUGGACAUGACAGAGGAGUGCUUGAAGCAAGCAAAUGACCUAAGUGGUUUGCUGCUACUCUAUUCUUCGUUAGGCGAUGCUGAAGGAAUUACUGAACUUGCAUCUCUUGCCAAAGAGCAUGGGAAAAACAAUGUAGCAUUCCUUUGUUUAUUUAUGCUGGGUAAAUUGGAGGACUGCCUACAGCUGUUGGUUGACAGCAAUCGGAUACCUGAAGCUGCAUUGAUGGCUCGGUCUUACCUCCCAAGUAAGGUGUCAGAAAUCGCCGCUCUUUGGAGAAAGGACCUCAAUAAGAUUAAUCAGAAAGCUGCAGAAUCUCUUGCUGACCCGGAGGAAUAUCCUAAUUUGUUUGAGGAUUGGCAAGUUGCUCUUGCCGUUGAAACUAAAGCUGCCGAAACAAGGGGAAAAUAUCCUCCUGCAGCCGAAUAUAUGCAACAUGCUGACAGAUCAACUGCAAGUCUUAUAGAAGCUUUUAGAAACAUGCAAAUGGAUGAAGAUGAACCAUCGGAAAAUGGAGUCUUGGAUUAUGAGGAUGCAGAACAAAAUGGUGAUGAAGAAGAAGAGAUGGAAAUCGAGGACCAAGUAGAGGGCCAAGAAGAGGGUGUUGUGGUAGAUGCUGACUCAACGGAUGGUGCUGUACUCGUGAACGGUAAUGAGGCUGAUGAAGAGUGGGGUACGAAUAAUGAAGGAAAACCGUCAGCCUAAAAGCAAUUGUGCUUACACCACGUCACUGAGUCAACUCGAGACAGACGGUUCCAGCUGUAUAUGAAUUCUCUCAUGGGUUUCGGUUGCUAGUCUUUCUGCCAAGUGAUGUUAUUUAAGCACGACGAAUUUUGUUAUUGGACUUUUCGAGUUUCGGAUGUUAGUGUUUUUGUUGAUUUUUCUGCUCAUUAAUUUUUUUCUUCUACAUUUUUCAUGUGACGUUGUGUAUUGUAGAUAACACCAUUAAAUAUAGUAUAAUUUUGUUAUACUAUUCGUAUAUUUCUUA
RNA transcript from Erythranthe guttata (spotted monkey flower), 3276 nucleotides. It is a transcript of the gene named coatomer subunit beta'-1, with no coding region annotated. The record is from RefSeq and is a predicted model, not a curated record. NCBI's taxonomy places the organism in Eukaryota, Viridiplantae, Streptophyta, Magnoliopsida, Lamiales, Phrymaceae.